RNAcentral lists this ribosomal RNA (165 nucleotides) under Cistanche tubulosa. RNAcentral describes it as "5.8S ribosomal RNA". It matches the Rfam family "5.8S ribosomal RNA". Rfam says of the family: 5.8S ribosomal RNA (5.8S rRNA) is a component of the large subunit of the eukaryotic ribosome. The record is from RNAcentral. Lineage: Eukaryota; Viridiplantae; Streptophyta; Magnoliopsida; Lamiales; Orobanchaceae.
UAACGACUCUCGGCAACGGAUAUCUCGGCUCUCGCAUCGAUGAAGAACGUAGCGAAAUGCGAUACUUGGUGUGAAUUGCAGAAUCCCGUGAACCAUCGAGUCUUUGAACGCAAGUUGCGCCCAAAGCCUUUUGGCCAAGGGCACGUCUGCUUGGGCGUCACGCAU